Molecule: ribosomal RNA, 392 nt
Filed under: uncultured bacterium
Lineage: Bacteria
Description: bacterial SSU rRNA
Rfam family: Bacterial small subunit ribosomal RNA
Source: RNAcentral
GACGAACGCUGGCGGCGUGCUUAACACAUGCAAGUCGAGCGGUAAGGCCCUUUCGGGGGUACGACGAGCGGCGAACGGGUGAGUAACACGUGGGUGACCUGCCUUUAGCUCUGGGAUAAGCCUGGGAAACUGGGUCUAAUACCGGAUAUGACCCUAUGGCGCAUGUUGUGGGGUGGAAAGCCUUGUGCGGCUAGGGAUGGGCCCGCGGCCUAUCAGCUUGUUGGUGGGGUGAUGGCCACCAAGGCGACGACGGGUAGCCGGCCUGAGAGGGCGACCGGCCACACUGGGACUGAGACACGGCCCAGACUCCUACGGGAGGGCAGCAGUGGGGAAUCUUGCGCAAUGGGCGAAAGCCUGACGCAGCGACGCCGCGUGAGGGAUGACGGCCUCGG